Transfer RNA from Phytophthora infestans T30-4, 72 nucleotides. It matches the Rfam family "tRNA". From Rfam's summary of the family: Transfer RNA (tRNA) molecules are approximately 80 nucleotides in length. The record is from Rfam. Lineage: Eukaryota; Oomycota; Peronosporomycetes; Peronosporales; Peronosporaceae.
GGCCUCGUGGUCUAGUGGUAUGAUUCUCGCUUCGGGUGCGAGAGGUCCCGGGCUCAAUUCCCGGUGAGGCCC